ACUAAACCCAAGAUACCAUUUUUAUUCACGCUUUCCCCUCCCUCAGUUAGAGAGAGAGAGAGAGAGAGAGCCAAAAAAAAAAAAAACUGUUUUUGAACCCAUUUUCCCAUUCUCCAGGCAAAAAUGGCUGCAACCCAUUUUUCUCUGCCCCUUUUGCUUCUCCUUAGAUUUGUUCUCGUUGUGGAAUCUGGUAUUGGAGUGAACUGGGGGAGUCUGUCCACUCACAGGCUGCCACCUCCCAUUGUUGUGGAUCUGCUGAGAGAGAACAAGAUUGAGAAGGUGAAGCUGUUUGAUUCUGACCCAGAUGCGCUCAGAGCUUUGAUGGGUAGUGGGAUUCAAGUUAUGAUUGGGAUUCCUAAUGAGAUGCUUGGGGUUUUGAGCGCCUCUGCUGCUGCUGCUGAUUUGUUUGUUAGCCAGAAUGUGUCUAGAUAUUUGAUUAAAGGUGGUGCUGAUAUUAGGUAUAUUGCUGUCGGAAAUGAGCCCUUCCUCACAAGCUACCAGGGUCAGUUUCAGUCCCUAGUCCUUCCUGCAAUGGCCAAUGUUCAGCAAUCACUUGUGAAAGCAAACCUCGCAAGCUAUGUAAAGCUCGUAGUCCCUUGUAAUGCUGAUGCUUAUGAAUCCUCCCUUCCUUCUCAAGGAACGUUCAGGCCCGAAUUAACCCAAAUCAUGACGCAGCUCCUUUCCUUUCUCAACUCAAAUGGAGCUCCAUUCGUAGUCAAUAUCUACCCUUUUCUUAGCCUCUACGGUAACACAGAGUUCCCCCAAGAUUACGCUUUUUUUGAUGGUUCUUCUCAUCCCGUCACAGAUGGCCAGAAUAUAUACUACAAUGCUUUUGAUGGAAAUUACGAUACCUUAGUUGCUGCCCUCAAUAAGAUUGGCUAUGGCCAAAUGCCCAUCGUUAUAGGUGAAGUCGGUUGGCCUACUGACGGUGCAACGAGUGCAAAUCUUAGCGCAGCGAGAGCCUUUAACCAAGGUCUCAUCAGUCAUGUUCUUAGUAACAAAGGGACACCUCUAAGACCUGGGGUUCCUCCUGCAGAUAUAUAUCUCUUCAGUUUAUUCGAUGAAGGCCAAAAGAGUGUGCUUCCCGGGAAUUUUGAGAGGCACUGGGGGAUUUUCUCCUUCGACGGACAAGCAAAGUACCCUUUAAACCUCGGUUUGGGAAGCGGGGGACUAAGGAACGCUAGAGAAGUUCGAUAUCUACCACCUAGAUGGUGUGUCGCUAAUCCAUCUAAGAAUCUCGAUGGGGUCUCAAAUCAUAUGAAACUGGCUUGCAGCGUCGCAGAUUGUACAACCCUCAGCUACGGAGGAUCGUGUAAUGAAAUUGGAGAGAAGGGUAAUAUUUCGUAUGCCUUCAAUAGUUACUACCAGUUACAGAAGCAGGAUCCGAGGAGUUGUGAUUUCGAUGGGCUUGGAAUGGUGACUUUCCUCGAUCCUUCGGUUGGUGAUUGCCGUUUUUUGGUUGGAGUCAAUGAUAUUAAGUCUUCUUCUUCUUGCCUUAGUCGUGGGAUUUUCGGUGGGAUUUGGGUUACGAUAGUGUGGGUGUUAGUAUAUCUAAGAGUGCUUAAUACUUCAUGAAGAAUGAUUUCUGAGGAUCACUUCUUCGUAGUAGGGAAUGAACUCUCGAAAAAGUUCAACAGAUUUACUGUUACUUGACGUAGAAAUUUUAUUAGUCGAUGCUUAAAGUUCAACAGAUUUGGUCAAUUCACAGAUUAUGAUCCUGCAGAAGUGUGCCUGAGCUUUUUUGGUCUCUUGCGAUGUUGAGUGAAUUUUGUGAAGGGGGCCUUUCCUCAGACUACCUGCCUGAUUGUAGUAAAUGAGACCGAGAAGAUAAUUCUGAUGCCUUGUGCUCUCCUUUUUGUUAUGGUGGUCGAGCUUAAGGUGCGAUUACAUUGCAAAGCAUGUGAGAAAUCAGUGAGGAAGACGCUAUCCAAUCUAAAAGACACGGAUGGCUCGAUAAAAUUUCUUUACAGGGGUCACAUGUGUCGAAAUAGAUGUCGUAUCGAGCAAACUCACAGUUUUGGGCUAUAUCGAUCAGAACACGGUCGUUAAAGCAGUACGCAAAACUGGCAGAAUUGCAUCAGACUGGUCAUAUCAUCGUCAUACUGCUCGCAAUGGUAACUUCAUAUGCUCUGGCUGUGAAUCUGGAAGAAGAGUUACAGUAUCAGGCGCGACACAAGAGCACAGCGAAGAAACUAAAGCUCCAAUAAUGAAGAAAAGUUUCUUGAAGCGAAAGUCUUAUUUCUCGCAUAGAUUCCUUAUGGCCGUGUGCUUAAAGGGGAAAUAGUCAGAUUGUUCCAAUUUCCAAUAUUUACCCCUAUAGGGAUAAGUUGUAUUGAUCAUACUUUUCUACGAAGGGUGAACUACUGUAAAUGCCCGAAUCAAUAAGAUUGUUGUUAAAAUUAA
Molecule: RNA transcript, 2403 nt
Organism: Asparagus officinalis (garden asparagus)
Lineage: Eukaryota; Viridiplantae; Streptophyta; Magnoliopsida; Asparagales; Asparagaceae
Gene name: glucan endo-1,3-beta-glucosidase 6-like
Exons: 4
Source: RefSeq, a predicted model, not a curated record